This 310-nucleotide unclassified non-coding RNA is filed under the name Entoloma sp. RNAcentral describes it as "partial internal transcribed spacer region". The stretch from base 1 to 46 matches the Rfam family "Eukaryotic small subunit ribosomal RNA", at positions 1786 to 1831 of the family's 1831-position model. Lineage: Eukaryota; Fungi; Basidiomycota; Agaricomycetes; Agaricales; Entolomataceae. The record is from RNAcentral.
AAGUCGUAACAAGGUUUCCGUAGGUGAACCUGCGGAAGGAUCAUUAUUGAAUAAACUUGGUUGGGUUGUUGCUGGCUCUUAGGAGCAUGUGCACACUCACUCCAUUUUUAACCACCUGUGCACCUUGUGUAGAUCUGGACAACUCUCGGGGAAACUCGGUCAGAGAAUUGCUGUGCGUAAAAGCCAGCUUUUCUUGAGUUCAGAUCUAUGUCUCUAUAUAUACUCCAUAAGAAUGUAUUAGAAUGUAAUUGAUAGGCGUUACUGCCUUUAAAAUCAAAUACAACUUUCAACAACGGAUCUCUUGGCUCUC